UACAGAGGUCUCAAGCGUUGUUCGGAUUCAUUGGGCGUAAAGGGUGCGUAGGCGGCGCGGUAAGUCGGGUGUGAAAUCUCGGAGCUUAACUCCGAAACUGCAUUCGAUACUGCCGUGCUUGAGGACUGGAGAGGAGACUGGAAUUCACGGUGUAGCAGUGAAAUGCGUAGAUAUCGUGAGGAAGACCAGUGGCGAAGGCGGGUCUCUGGACAGUUCCUGACGCUGAGGCACGAAGGUCAGGGGAGCAAACGGG
Molecule: ribosomal RNA, 253 nt
Filed under: uncultured bacterium
Lineage: Bacteria
Description: partial 16S ribosomal RNA
Rfam family: Bacterial small subunit ribosomal RNA
Source: RNAcentral